This 74-nucleotide transfer RNA is filed under the name Candidatus Hydrothermia bacterium. Its description in RNAcentral is "tRNA-Trp". It matches the Rfam family "tRNA". Rfam says of the family: Transfer RNA (tRNA) molecules are approximately 80 nucleotides in length. Lineage: Bacteria; Pseudomonadati; Caldifarciminota; Caldifarciminia. The record is from RNAcentral.
GAGACCGUAGCUCAACAUGGUAGAGCGGCGGAUUCCAAAUCCGCAGGUUGGGGGUUCAAGUCCCUCCGGUCUCG